CACACGACUCUCGGCAACGGAUAUCUCGGCUCUCGCAUCGAUGAAGAACGUAGCGAAAUGCGAUACCUGGUGUGAAUUGCAGAAUCCCGUGAACCAUCGAGUCUUUGAACGCAAGUUGCGCCCGAGGCCACUCGGUCGAGGGCACGCCUGCUUGGGCGUCACGCC
Molecule: ribosomal RNA, 165 nt
Filed under: Bromus hordeaceus (soft brome)
Lineage: Eukaryota; Viridiplantae; Streptophyta; Magnoliopsida; Poales; Poaceae
Description: 5.8S ribosomal RNA
Rfam family: 5.8S ribosomal RNA
About the family: 5.8S ribosomal RNA (5.8S rRNA) is a component of the large subunit of the eukaryotic ribosome. It is transcribed by RNA polymerase I as part of the 45S precursor that also contains 18S and 28S rRNA.
Source: RNAcentral